GCCAAAAAUCUAGCCCUAUAUUUAUUAAUGACCCCCCCCCCCCUUUUUUUAUUUAACUAAAACAUUUUCUACGUUUAGUAAAGGAGAUAAAAAGACUCAUUGGAGCGAUAGACACUAGUACCGCAAGGAAAAGAUGAAAUAAAAUUGAAAGAAAUUUUAAGCAUGAAAAAGCAGAGCUUUUCCCUCGUACCUUUUGCAUCAUGGUUUAACUAGUAACAUUAGGCAAAAAGAACUAUAGUUUAACCCCCCGAAACUAGACGAGCUACUUCGAGGCAGCUUAAUGAGCGAACCCGUCUCUGUUGCAAAAGAGUGGGACGACCUCAAAGUAGCGGUGACAGACCUAACGAGCCUAGUGAUAGCUGGUUGCUUAAGAAAAGGAUUUUAGUCCUGCCUAAAGCAUUUUAAAUUCUUUUAAAUUGUACUAAUACUUUAGAGUUAUUCAAAUAAGGUACAGCCUGUUUGAAAAAGGAUACAACCUCCACUAAUGGGUUAUUUUUUAGUGACAUAAACAAGUAGGCCUAAAAGCAGCCACCUUUAAAAUAGCGUCAAAGCUUCCUCAUCAAGAAUUCAAAUUCCAUUAUACUACUAUAAGCCCUUUAUCUUUAUUAAGCGAUUUUAUAUUUUUUAUUGAAGACACUAUGUUAAAACUAGUAAUAAGAAGAAGACCUUCUCUUAAAUGUGUGUGCACGUCAGAAGGGACACCCCGCUGACAGUUAAACGUGUAUGAGCACAAAACAGCAACUUCUCUAGAAAACCCUGUUUAAUCAAACGUUAACCUAACACAAGAACAUUCAAAGAAAGAUUAAAAGAAAAAGAAGGAACUCGGCAAAUAUUAGCCUCGCCUGUUUACCAAAAACAUCGCCUCUUGAAACGAUUAUAAGAGGUCCAGCCUGCCCAGUGACUUAGUUCAACGGCCGCGGUAUCCUAACCGUGCGAAGGUAGCGCAAUCACUUGUUCUUUAAAUGAGGACUAGUAUGAAUGGCACCACGAGGGCUGUACUGUCUCCUUUUUCUAAUCAGUGAAACUGAUCCCCCCGUGAAGAAGCGGGGAUAAAAAUAUAAGACGAGAAGACCCUAUGGAGCUUCAAACUAAAUAGCACUAACUUUUUAAUAAUAAAGUUUCAAAACAAAAACAACCAUUUUAGUUAAAAUGCUAUUAGUUUUAGGUUGGGGUGACCGUGGAGAAAAAUAGAUCCUCCAUAUUGAACGGGGCCUCCUGAGCUAAAAGCUACAACUUUAAGCACCAAUAGACUGACAUUAAUUGACCCAAUAUUUUGAUCAAUGAACCAAGUUACCCUAGGGAUAACAGCGCAAUCUACCUUAAGAGUCCCUAUCGACAGGUGGGUUUACGACCUCGAUGUUGGAUCAGGGCAUCCUAGUGGUGCAGCCGCUACUAACGGUUCGUUUGUUCAACGAUUAAAGCCCU
Molecule: ribosomal RNA, 1425 nt
Filed under: Dendropsophus novaisi
Lineage: Eukaryota; Metazoa; Chordata; Amphibia; Anura; Hylidae
Description: partial 16S ribosomal RNA
Rfam family: Bacterial large subunit ribosomal RNA
Source: RNAcentral